RNAcentral lists this ribosomal RNA (426 nucleotides) under Triticum aestivum (bread wheat). RNAcentral's name for it is "partial small subunit ribosomal RNA". The record is from RNAcentral. Lineage: Eukaryota; Viridiplantae; Streptophyta; Magnoliopsida; Poales; Poaceae.
AUGUCUUGGAGAGGAUGGGUUUUGAAGAUCAUGAGAGGAAUGAAACAAAGAAAAUUAACCUAAGGACCCAUCAUGGUAUGGAUUUUGAGGUAAAUCUAUACAAUUCUGAGAGCGUAUCCCAUUUUGGUUGCCCGGGUUGGGAAUCACUUUGCAAGAUGUAUGAUUUUCAAGAGGGUAUGUUUGUCACCAUGUAUCUUGGUGAUCCUGACAUCGACCAAGACAAUUUGGACAUUUGGGUCCUUGUUGAUACGCUUCCAAUUCUACCGCUAUGUGAGUUUCUCAAACAUAGUUAUUAACUAAUUUAUAUUGUUCAUUUCAAAAUAGUUAACAACUUAUUUCCAUUGACAGCUUAUUUUAAUUGUUCAAACAAUGUGCGGAACAUGGUAGACAGAACCUAGUACACCGAUGGCUCUGAGUUAACUUAUC